Molecule: long non-coding RNA, 11763 nt
Organism: Pipra filicauda (Wire-tailed manakin)
Lineage: Eukaryota; Metazoa; Chordata; Aves; Passeriformes; Pipridae
Exons: 2
Source: RefSeq, a predicted model, not a curated record
CCUGCCCCAGCACUGCCCAGCGCACCCCUCCUGCCCCCAACACCUCCCUGUUGGGACAGCAGCACUGUGGGUUCAGCUCCCUGCCGCUUUCCCUCCCUCACCUCUCCACCACCUCACCUGCCCAAGGCCCCGCUGGAAGCUGCCGGGAUCUCAGGGAGUGGGGACAUUGCUACCUUGGCGAGGCCAAGAUGUUUGGGGGAAAGCUGUGAAGUGUCUUGCCAUCAUGAAUAGUUCACACAAACGAAAAGCCUUUUGUUUCUUUAGAGGGGAAAAACGUGAUGCACCGUCGAAUUAAAAACUGCAGCUACAGACAGUGAUGGAAUAAUUCCUAUUCCAGUGUUCAUGACAGAGAGCAGCUCCCCAAAAUUCUGAUGUACAACCUUGGAUCCUCCUGGGCUCACAGACACACAGCUGGCACCAAGCUGGAGGCUGGCUGACAACACAGUGGGACAAACACUGCACCAAAGCACUUACUUGCAAGAUGCGCAGCUUUACAUGGAUCCAUCCUAUGUGAUGGGUCUUUCCCCACAGCAUUUCACCUCCUUGAGACAAAUGAGUAACUGAUUGUUUCAGCUUCUAUUUAACAUUUUUGCUCCUCCUAGAAGUCCCUUGCCCUCCACCAUGAGGACUUCUAUUGACAGCCUGGCCACAUACCCGUUCCACAUUCAGAGAUAAGAGGGCUACACUGAACCCAAGUUUUAGGUUGUUGGGGCCGGUUGUUUGGAUUUUUUUUCAUCUUUCAGACUUUGAGCCAAGUUUGUGAUGGAGGCAUUUGACUCAUCGUUUCUAACAUUUUAGUCUCCCAACAGUAACGCACGUUAAUCUUGGACUCGUUCUGGCAGUAAACGUAACGUGACUCCUCGGGGCUACUGAGCCUUGCGACCGUUCCAGCAACCAUCAAAGGGGAGCUGGAGUUCUGGGAAAAACACCGACUGGCAGCAUUUCGCCCCGCACGUCCUCCUGCCAGUGGCGGGAGCCCGACAGCUUCAUCCACAAGGCCAGGGAACGGCCGGGGUCAGAGGCCACCUGAGUCAGCCAUAUCCAGCAAGCGCUUUGCUAAACCUCUUCCUGUGAGUCCCUUAACACCUUCUGUUCAGUGUUGCUGGCUAUGGAAGGCGAGGGCACCGCUCCACACCUGAUCUCUGCACGGGUUAGGCUUCAACAACGAUUUCUCAACUGUUUCCCAAUUGUCUGCCUGCCCUGUGGGUCAUCACACCUCCCACCUAGGCUGCUGCACAUACUUUCUGCCAGCCGUUAUACAUACAAGAGGCAGAAAGAAAACUCUCCAAGAGAGCCUCCACAGGCCUUAGAGAGCAUGAUGUACUCACACAGGCAUCCUGCUGAAUGCACUGCAGGAUGUGCUUGGCUGGAAUCAGGAAGUCUAUGAGGUAGCGCAGUCCAUCCCCACGGUACGUCUUCUCCACCACAUCAAAAACUUGGCACAGAACAGUGGCUGCGGUAGCCUCAAACGGAGGGUAGAGUGUUGAUAACGUGCUCUGAAUGCAGCCGUCCAGCGACUCCGAGUCCUGCCGAGAGACAAAGCGUUAGUGGUACCACGGCACGAUCCGCGCCGGCGCCCCGACGAGCCCUCCGCCCAGGAGAGCAGCCAUCUCCAAACGCAGGAGGAGCGGAGAUCAAAGGAGCAAAGCGCUGUCCUUUCCAGCUCCUCUUGGCACCAGGGAUUCCAGGUAAACACUGGAAAGCUCUCCCAAAACGGGAGUGGAGUGCUCGCAGAGUGUGCUGUGCACAGCAGCGAGAAUUCCCAGCUUUUGCUUACGCAGCAAGUCCUUCUCCUGCCUGCGCGGGGUGGGGCGGCUGUUAGACCACACCGCGGCACGUGAGCGCGUGCGGGCGAGCCAGUCAUGGGGUGGGCGCAUCGGCGGGACCCGAGUCCUGGGUACCCGGGGCUGGAGAUGCUGCCCAGCACUUGGGUACGUUACAUCCCAGAGUUACAGCUCCCCAGUGGGCUGAGCGGAGCUGCAGGGACAACAGGUUGGGCUGAAGCUCCUGAGCCUGCCGCGCUCUGGAGUCCCAGCACAGGGUGAGUUCGGAGCGCUUGGUCCCGAGGAAAGCCGCUCACCAGUGAGAUUCCUCAUUAUCCAAAGCUGUUUGCCUCUCAUGAAAGGCUCCACUCCAGGAGCCAGGAAUGUUCUGCACUGAGAGAUGCCUCCCAACAGGAUUCACAGACUGCACGUGAACAGUGGUCCCUGAGCACACACAUCAAUACGUGGGAUGCCCAUUUCCAGCUCAUAGAUCAGAGGCAAUGGCUUCCCUGAAUGCACCUUCAUUUGGAAGAACCUGCCAGCCAGAGCCUGCCCACGGUGUCAGGACCAAUUCCAGUGCCAGAGGCCAAAAUCUGAGUUAUUGCAUGGGUGUAAAUCAAGAGGGCUUGCCAAAAAGUAACAAUAAAAAAAAUAAAGCUGUACAUAUCUGGAGAGAGGAUCAGGAUCCCUCCUUUGCUUUCUAUUUCAGAGGGGAUCCCUUGGGCUAACUUACAGCCAGUGGGAGUAAGUUUUGCUACAAAACCAAAUGAAAGUUUACUCAGGUGUCUGGCCAGGUCUUCAUCUGAUCUAAAUCCACCUCCUUUCACUAGAGACAAGAAAAGCAUUUCAGCCACUUGGCCCUACAGCCUCCUGCAGAACAGGAACAGCUGCAUGGACAUGCCUGAAAACAUACCUCAGUCCCACAGCAAGAUGGGGAGAGAAAGUUAAACAAAGCAGUGCCACAACAGCUUACACCACCACCGGGGAGCAGUAGGGCGAGGGGAUCAGGAGGAAACAAAACUGGUUUGCUUCUUCCACUCCACGGCAGCACAGGUUCAUCGCUCCAGAUACCUCCACUGGCCUGAGAAAAUGCAACAGUCUCAGAGAAAGCCUGAACCGACCUGCAGCCCGAGCAGAGAUGAUGCUCCUCACACGAGCCUUCCCACCUCUCACAGCUCAACAAUCUCCAAGUUCUUCCUUUAGAGGGUUGGAUGUUUUAAGCUUAAUAUAAACUCCCUGCUCUGUUGUAGGACAGCCUGUGGGACUGCACAGGAGAGGUGGGGACACCCAGGAGAUGCCUCCACAAUUCCUGCCUGCACCGAGCUGGCAGAACACGUGUGACAGGCAAACCACACGCUGCCUGUGGCACAGCACUGCUUCCUUACCUCUUCUGCUGUUUCUCCUGGUGGCAGCAACAAGCAAGGCUAGAUGGCAGCAGGCUCCUAAAGUGUUCACACCUUUUCUGAGAAACCAGCUGCCUCCUGCAGUACUCCUCAAGGCCAAUGCAACCAGAUGAACAGAGGUUAAGGAGCUAUUUUUCAUAUUCACAGAAUCACAGAUUGUCCUUAGUUGGAAUUCUUAACCCAAUAUUCUUAACCCAAGGACUCCAAAAGCAGGAGCCCUACAUGCACACUUCCAAACACUGAGUGCUAGGGUGAGCAUUUAACCCCAAUCCUAAAUGGGAGGAGAAGGCUGUUUUAGACAAGUUUCUUCCCACUCAGAAAAAUAAUAACCUCUGUUGACAUCAACCUGUCCCAGCAAGUGCCUUUGGCCUUGUCAGACAAAACUAGCCUUCACACAGGUGCUCUCCCACCCAGCACCAGCUGCCUGCUUGGGCACUAUCACAGUAGCACUGCUGCUGGUAGCAUUUGACAACAAUCUCUCUCUGACCCUCCACAGCCCACAGGUUUCAAAGUACCUCCCAAAACCAGCUGGGGUUGGUUCUGUGCCAUCCUCUGUCCCCAUGCCCUGCUUGAGCAAAAUUCUUUCAGAUAUCAAUCCCUCCCCAAAAGACAUUUGUUAAGUUUACUAUUGCAAAUAAAACAAAGAAGUCAAAAUAUUUGCACAUGAGUCAGUGCAUCGCUCUAAGGUUCUCACACCAUUCCUGCUGCCUUAGCAAAGCCUUCACAAAACAAUUAUUAACACUGGCACCGGAUCAAAAAUCUUUUAUAUGGUUAAAAUAAACCAGGUCAUACAUUAUCCUUCCUUUAGUAAAAUACAGAAUAACCAUAGCCUGUAGCCAUUGCAGAGUGCAGUGCUAACAGUGCACUCCAAAGCACAGAGGCUUUAUCUCCCUCUGGCUAGACUAUACCAUGAAGCCAUGAGAGCUGUGCAGGCUUCCAAGGGAUAGAGAGAAGGCUUCAACCCCUACCAUUUGAUAGAAAGAAAUGUUUGCCCCAGUCUGCUAAUUCCACAUCAAAAGCCCCAAACAGGGAGUAAAUUCCCACAUCCCACCACGCUGCAUGUGAUUGCAGCACCAGCAUCCCUGGGCAGCUGCAGAACAAGGAUGGAUGCAGCCUCCAUGUGCAACAGGCAAUUGUGGAGGUGACACCACUUUUCAGUGCUCCCACCCACCCAGGGUGGUCACCAGGGUUAUGUCCUGCUAGUGUAGAGGGUGCAACAUGGCAAUGCCUCAGAAGUCACCUUGAAAACACAGAGGGUGGAACACGGCAGAGUUUGGAGCCUGCAACAGCAGCAGAUUCACCUCUAAUCAGGGACUCAUUAACCCAACUCACAAUCCAAGGGAUGGAAUUGCUUAUUUGUAUUAAUUAACUUCUCAGAUUGCAGAGGGGCCAGAGGAAAGGGCCUCAGCAGGGGCUGUAAGAGGCUGUUGAAUGCCAGAGCACAGCUGGGCAGCCUCACACAUCCAGCCUGCAGGCAGGGCCUGCUGCCACACACAUGGAAAAGACGUGGUUUGGAGGCACAGGGAACUCAUGCAAAGAAGAGAAGGGGAUAGUCCCCUGCAGUCCAGAGGCUGAUAAACCUGAAGUCCAGAGCCCGUCCUACCUACAAACCACAUCGGAGAACUGUAGAAUGUGUAAGGUUGGAAGGCACCACUGGAGGUCAUCUAGUCCAACCUCUCUGCUCCAGCAGGGUCCCCUAGACCAUAUUAGGGGUCCCCCAGACCACUGAAGGGUUUCCUAGAGCACGUUAGGGUCUCCCAGAGCAUGUUACUCCAGCUGGCUUUUGAGUAUCUCCAAAGAAUGAGACUCCACAAUCUCUCUGGGCAACCUAUUCCAGAGUUUCCAUCACUUAGCUCAAGCAGGCAACGCAACCUCCAGCAGGCAUGAGGAGAAACCUCCAUGACCCGGGAUGAGUGGACAGCACCUGGAGAGGAGGAGAGCAAGCUAACCCAGCAAGGAUCCAAGGGGAGAGAACUCCUACCCCAGGACACUUCCACUUCAGCCAGCCCACAGUGGCCCCCAGAGCUGGCAGAGCCCAGCACAGGAGCCUCCUGCAGAAAAGCAGCCUCCUUCAGGGACUGGAAACUUCUAGCUUCCCUGCCUCCAACACUGUUGCCACAUCCCUUUCACAGAAAAGGUCCUGGACACUUAUUCCUUUUCAGCCACUUGGCACAAACACUAGCCAGGGCGCUUUCCAAGCAAGCCAGAGAGCAUCUCCCCAAGCAAAAGAUGUCUUGGAACUCAAAUGCUUCUUUGUCAAUAGCACAGGAGGACCUGUGAACUCCAGCUCACUGCCACCACUCCACCACACCUCCCAAAAGAGAAACAUGCUUUUAAAAUAACUCCUCUAUAAAUCAAGGCGCUAAAUAAAGCCCAGGUUAAGGUCAUGUCCGGCCAAACCGGCUUUCACUGCUGCUCAGCUGGGAGCCACUGCAGGGGCUGGAGCACAGCGAGGCAAGAGGAAAGCAGCACGUGGGGAUGGGAUGGGCUCUGUGGGCUGAGCCCUGUGACAGGAACAACCCAGCGUGGUCCCACCCGGGGGGAAGGGGAGCAGGGAGAACCCAGGAGGACUUCAUAGCUGGCAGAGGGCUUAGGUCUGAACAGGGCCAGCAAUGAGUGGGGUGGGUGGGCUGCCCUCCCUCCCCUGCAUAUCAUCAGAGCCACAGAUGCUGUGAAACAAAUAAAGCAAUAAAGUUGUGGCAAAGCUCUGCUGCUCAGCCCUAAGAGCCCUUCUCCAUCACAAACUGCAGCAAUACCAGGAGUCAAGCAGAAAUGAGGUUACCAGUGCCUGGGCAGAAGCCCCAGGCCCAGACUAACAAGCAGGCAGCAGGAAGAGCAGACCAGGACCUGUUACAAACCUGCUCAGGAGACACAUCUACCUUUCCUCAUUCAAGCAGCUGCUGCAGGAUGUGAGACGAGCCUAUCAGGAGGCAUCUGGAGUAAUCAGGAGCUUCUUGGGCUUUUCUAGGUGCACAGAUUGAAUUUUCUGCCUACCUUUGUGGGCAUGGAGAGAACGACAUAGCAGCUCCAGCCACUGGGAACUCCUGUCAUGCUACAUUUCUUUCUGACUCAGGACUCAACUUUUUCCUCUUUGGGACCUGCUGCUCACCAAUUAAGUCUGAACUCUGGAGAACCUCCUACAAGUUUGGAGAACAAGAAGUCAGAGAGAUCAUCCCCAGGGCUACACACACACACUUUGCACAGCCUCAGAAUACUUUGUGCUCUUCAAGCAAGAGACAGCAACCCAAAUGGCUCAGGAUAAUGCAAGUCGGUGCAGGGAAGGGCUGCAAUGCUACUGGACCCAUCUGGGCCCAAGAAGCCUUGGCAGCAUUUUCCCUACAACUCACCCAAGCACUUCGCUAAUUUUGCCUAGAAAAUGCUGAGUCUUCCCUGCUGACAGCCCCGAUGCUGUGUGUAGAUUCCUAAAAAACAUUGUCAUGGUGAGACCAGACUAACUGUUUGACUAACCCAUGACUUAUGGAGGACAACACUCCUUUCCAGCAGGCUGGUCUGGCCCAUGUAACACACCGAGGAUUCAUCCCGCAGCAGGAAUUUAAGCUAAAGAACCUGCAGCUCUGCUCUCAGAAACCUAGACCCCAAUCCGAGCUGCCCAAGAAUGAGAACUACAUGUCCCAGAGUGCCCUGGCUAAAUGCAGAGCUUGGCAGAGCAGGGAGCAUGGCUGGGCAGUGGAGCAGAGCCCAGCAAGGCUGCGAGCACAGCGAGAACACCCAGCUCUGAGUCACCGAGUGCCUCGGCUCCCGCUCAGCAGGGAGGCCGUGCCAGGAGCUCCCACAACUUUGCCCUCCUUCUGCUGGCUGCCCGGAGCUUGGCCACGUCCUGCACGCACCCACUGUCUCCCCUCUUGCCCAGGUACCAACAGACAGUGUGAAGGCAGGAGAGAAAAGACCAGAGUCCGCAAAGGUGAGGGGAAGAGAUGACCCAGGCCUCCCACGCCCCAGACUGCAAAGUAGAAAUAACAGCAAAACUGGGAAGAGGCAGAGCUCCAAGCAGCACAACACAGAGCCUGCCCAUGGCCCCCAGCCAGCUUUGGGACUGGGGGAAAAGGAGCUCACAGCAGGCGCUGAGCAGGGCCGGGUUAGCUGGUCCCUCCGCCAGCAAAGGCUGCCGUGCUGCGCCGCUUGGCUGGGGCUGCUCAGCUCUCAGCUGACGUGAGAAACCUCAUUUCCAGUAAAAACAGACCUCUGGGCUUUCCAUGAAGCCUUUCCACUUUCUGACACAAAGCUGAAAGCCAGGCCGCUUUGCCUUUAAAAACGAGACGUUUCUCUGUUCAAAAAGGUCUUUGGCUAAAAGCAAGGCUUGUUUUUCUGACAAAAUUUGAGAUUUCCCACACCGUUGCUGCAGGGAGGAGAACCCUCCCAGCCCCAUUUCCUGAGCCCUUCUAAUCACAGCGGCAAUGAGUUCAAGAGAGAAAAAUCUUCCCAGAGCAAGUGCCAGCUCCCCCCUCUGCUGCUUGCUCUGAGGCUCACGGGGAGGCUGAGAGGAGGGCGCCUGCCUUCAGUACCCUGCCUGCCUCUGGACAAAAUAAUGCACUCUUAAGUGGUGCAGUUGUAGAGGUAGGCAUUCCCACUCCUGUACUUACAGCACCUUCCUGUGAGAUAACCAGGAAAGGCUCUACCUGCUCUUUGGCCUGUUGUUUUAGGCUUUUCAGGGAAAAAAGCAAAGCGCCCAGUUCCACUUGGGAGGCAAGUGUUUGCAGCCUCACCCAGGCCAGCUUUGCUCAAGGGCUGUACCUCCAAAAGCAAGCUGCCUUCUGCAUGCCACCAUGGCAUCCCUGGCAGAGGGCACGGCUGUAGCCUGGCUCGGCUCCCCUGCCGCUGGGGCAGGCAGGACGGCUCCGCAGCCUGUGGAUAAACCAGCUCCUACAGCCUUGCAGGGAGUGGUGCUCAGCAGACAGAGCUGGGAGAAUCAUUUCCAGAUGCCUCCCUCUGUUCUCCCAGCCCUUCUCCGUGUUGACGCGGCUGCGGCAGCCAAAGCAGCUCCUACUGGGCAGCACACGGGAUUAUCAUUCCAGGCACUGCAGGAAAACAAGCGCUUGGAAGCGAUUAACUCAUGAUCUCUCAUUUAAUUAAACAAAGGGAAAAAUGAUGUAUUUGCUUUUCAGCUCCGAGGUCCCUCUUCUGCGCAUGCUGUAGGUCUGGGCUUGCGCAGCCGGUGAAAGGCAGGCCCAGAGCUGGGCGACCUCCCUGCCAGCCCAGGCUUGGUUUGUUUUCACUCAAGGGGGACAUCCCAGAUUGCUCUGGAAGUGAAGCAUGACCUCCUGCGAGCUUCGAGCUUUGGAGCUGGUGCACAGCUACCCCUGUGCUGUCCUUAUGCUGGAGCAAAAGGCAGGGAAUAGCAGACGGCAGGGGCAGCCUGGUCCAGGUACAUCCCUGGCUCUGUGCCGUGCUGCAGGUGGCCUAACACAGACUUUAUCAUAUGGCAACAUGACCUGAGUCACCUGAGCCUGCCCUCCAGCCCAAGACCCCUGUUUAUGUGGGCCUAAUACAGCACCUUCCUCCUUACUCACCUUACUCCUCUCUACCCUUUCCUUUAGGUUUUUGUACUCCAGCUUCUCUGGAGCAGACCCUGUGUACUUUCUCCUUUGUCUGUGCAACACCCAGAACAUCAGAAAAGCUGCUGACAACUCCUGAACAGAUUAAAGAGGCCAAAGUGGGGAUGACCAACAAUCCAAGAAAGUUUAGCCAGAGAAGGGCAGAUCUGGGAAAUGGAGAUAAGCCUUUCCUCACGGGGAUGUGUCCCGCUCACAAAUGAGCUCUCAAUGGACUGAGCAGGAGGUGCAUGAGCUGCUGGACAGACUCCCAUGGAUUCUCCACAUCUUGUCAUCUUCAUAAUCGACGGUGGAUGCCAUGGAGAAACGAUCCUCUUUUAGUUAAAGAGCUCCCAGACUGAAUGUGGGAGCUAGGUAACAGUCUAUCCCUUAACAGAUGAGCUGUAGUUCCUUUUGGCCUUAAACACACUGCAUUACCAUGAGCUAACAAAAUACAAGUCCUGCUAUGUCAGAGGGGAACAGAAACUGCUCUGGAGCUGCAAUUCCAGGAGGGGCCAGCAAGAGAAGACAGUCAGUGCAGAAGAACCUUCCUUGGAGGAGAACAUCCCUGCACACCUCUGAUAUGAGAAAGGAGCCGGCAGCAGCAACUAGAUGCCACAUCUGAGGAAGAAGCUGUAAGGAAGGAUGAGCCAGAAGGACAGAGCAGGCAGCCCAGAGAUGUCCAUGGCUAUGCCAGUUCAGUCAUGGGCCACCCCAAGAAGCAUCAGUCUGUGCCCUGCAGGGAGAAGUGCUGGUUAGAGGGACCCAGAUUUACUCCAAGACUCUCCAAGCUCACUGGGUACAGAAACACAUGUGCUCAAGCUCUCCUGCCCCUGAGCAGCCAAGCCUGGGGCAGAGUUAGAUGAAACCAUUUCCCCUAUAUUUGGAUACAGCACUAAAUGCAUGCCUCCUGGAAAGCUAAGUAAAUCAGUCAGAAAUUCAUUGCUUUUACUAAACUCCUGAGUUAGAAAGGGGUGAACACAGGCUUUUAAAGCUACUCCCUUUAUAGCUUUUUUUUCCCCAAACAGAAAACAGUCUCACGUGUCCCAUUAUUUCCAUACAUAUCAAAGGAGGGUGGAGAUUUAACUAGCAAUUUCUAAAAGAUCUUUGUGCACAGAAGGGAUGUAUGCCAAAACGUGGGUGGUUAUAAGCCCAAACACAAAGGAGAAUACAUCCACAGGCAUUUUUCCCCUUGAUCCAUUAACGGGUCUGCAUACCAGCCUCCUGAGCGUAUGAGAGGGACCUUGUUCAAAAGGUAAAUGUAUUCAGCAAGAUGACAACAGACAGCAAACAACCCACAUCCUUUAACCAUGUUGGAGGCUCAGCAGCGCCGGGUUUUUGUUGGGAGGCACUGAGAUCUGACAGGCAGCCUCGGGGAAGGGAUCCUCCUGAAGGAACCUGCUCAGGAAGCCUCUGCCACGCCCAAGGCAGGCUGCAAAGCUCAAGGCGGACACCUAGCUCAGGUCACCAGAACUCCAGCAGCUUUCCUCCUCUGCACCACACAAACCACCCUGGGGCCACAGCACCACGUCCCACUGGGGGUGAUCAGAAGGCCCCAUGGAGGCUCCCCUCUACCACAUCCACCAGUGUCCAGGAGGAGCACGUGGGAGUCCUCACCUGGUCCCCACUUCUUUUCAGUUGAGCCAUUUGAUCCUGUUCAAAAAAAUGUCUGGUUGCACCAGCUGGAGCAAGGGUUCAUCCAGGGCUUCCCAGCCUGAUGGCAGAAUGGUAAAUUUGAGCAGACAGAAAGACUUUCAGAUUCAUUCUGUGCUGCUUUGAUCUUGGAAGUUUCAGCUUGGUGUCCAAUGAUGCAAAAAAUGGGAUACGUACGAAACCAGCCAGGAGCACUUACCACAAGAAAGGCCCCAUUUUUUUGUUAAUUUUUUAAUGAAAGACUAGGCCAGCCAACAGAGAUGAGGCACUCGGUGUGGCAGAGAGGUAUUAGCAUGGUCAAACCUUCAGAGUCAAUAAGGGCACAUCCACUCACUUCUCUGAGCUGCAACCCAGGUACCAGGAGUGGUGCAGAAAGUACGGAGCAUCCCAUGGCCAGAGGUGAGCAGCUUACCCCAGCAGCCUCUCCUUGCUUUAUACUGCUGUUCAGUCAGCAACACAUCUGAUCCUGGUGCUGCUACUCCCUUUUUCAGGCCUUGGAUCCAUUGAACUCUGCAGGACUGGAACAGGGGGUUCCCUCAUGGGUAGGGAGCCAGGAAUAUGAACAAAAGGUGCUCUUAUAUGAGUGCCCACGGGUGGGUUCAGUUUAUAGUUUCCACAGAAGACACCACUGUUUUAACAGAGAUUUUUUUUCCAGCACUUGGGUGCUAAAAGGGCCUGUAGCCCCUGUGAUGUGACUUCAACCCACAUUCGGCACCAAUGCUCAGGUUUAGGCUCACAGCCUGUAGGAUGGUUCAGGUUUUGAACAGAUCAGUUGCAGACAGGGUUAUGUUUGAGAUGAAACUAGAAAAUGAGGCUCCACGAGCUGAGUGGCUGUGCCUGUGCUCUAGUAUUUAGAGGCAGACAUGCUGGCUGUCAUGUCUGAAGUGACCAGUUGCAAGAUGCUGACAAGGCUCUCACAUUAUGAUCUCUUCUGCUAACAGGGUGUGCCCUCAGGCCAACUGCCCACGGGGGAAGAUGGCAGCAGCAUGGCCAGAGGGGGUUAAGCUACAGGAUGCUGGUUUGCUGAAGAUAAGUGCUGACACCCAGCACCUUGGAUGCCUGCAGCACCUCACCAUAAGCAUUUGCUGUCUGGCAUUCCCACGUGGUACUAGAACACAUUUGGUGAUUCCUGGGUGGAGAUACCUGGAUGCAGCUGGUCUGUCACCCACAUUUAGCCAUUAUUUUUAUUGCUACAAUGAGCAGCAUGUUCACCUGCCCAGUGCUUUUGGAAAGACUCUGGGUAAAAUUCAAGUUGUCAUCCCUGUUACCCCAGAGGAGGUGCUUUCAAACCGCUUCCAUGUGCUCAGGAUUAUGUGUCUGGACUUUGUCUGCUUUCCAACAUCUUACUCAUGGCUUUGGCACAGAAAUAAAGAAAGAAGAUCCCCAAUGCUUAAA